This is a non-coding RNA of Triticum aestivum (bread wheat), 135 nucleotides long. The record is from Rfam. NCBI's taxonomy places the organism in Eukaryota, Viridiplantae, Streptophyta, Magnoliopsida, Poales, Poaceae.
AUGUUACUCCCUCCGCCCCAAAAUUCUUGUCUUAGAUUUGUCUAAAUACGAAUGUAUCACGUCAUAUUUUAGUAUUAGAUACAUCCAUAUCUAGACAAAUCCAAGACAAGAAUUUUGGGACGAAGGGAGUAUUAA